UCCUCUGAGGAAUGAGUGAAGCAACAUCAAAGGGAAAACUGCUCCUUCCAACUGAUAGUCAGUAAGCAAUGGCGUUUUCUUUGUAAGUGCUGCCGGGGGCUUGCAUAAUAUAUGUUAUAAAUAAGCCUCCUUCAGAUAUCAAUCAGCUUGUCUGGCUGCUCAAAUAAAAACUAUACGCACCUGACGAGAAGAUUUAUACCUUACAUGCACCUCAAAGGAACAGCGAACAAUGCACCUCCAGAAUUUCCACAUUGGCGCUCGUAAACACCGGUAACAGUUAAAGGAUCAACAUAUUCAGAACUCUAGCAUCAGCUAACUAGUUUGAGAGAGUUCAACAAUUCACGGAGUUGGAGACCUAGUCAAACAGUCCUGAAAGAAUUCGUAAAUGCAAGCGAUAAGGAUUUGAUACAAUGGUCUGAUCGGGAUGGCUUAGAGGGUUGAUGGAGUAAAAAACAGAGAGAGCGGUGAACAAGUACAUAACAUAAGGGACAAACGAGGAGCAUUUGGCAUACCUUUUGCAGCAGCAGCGUGGCAAAGCUUCCUCCCGGACGACGACGACGACGACGACGACGACGACGAUUGAGGAUGAGACUUUUAUUGGCAGGGUUCGGGGGGAUGGGGAUGAGGAUUUAGGAUCAGUGAACUGCUGUCUGCUGAUGACGAGUGGGGUGCCUCUCGGAAGUCGGAACGAAUCUGAGCGGGAGAGAACCUCCCGCCUCCCGGCCCCUCUUUUUCGUUUUUGAGGGAGUGGGCUUAAUUUUGGCCCGGGCUCCUCGAAA
RNAcentral lists this long non-coding RNA (779 nucleotides) under Ananas comosus (pineapple). RNAcentral's name for it is "long non-coding RNA (ACOM_LNC011198)". The record is from RNAcentral. Lineage: Eukaryota; Viridiplantae; Streptophyta; Magnoliopsida; Poales; Bromeliaceae.